ACAAGGAGUCUCGCGAGCAGCUGAUUACUUGUAACGGACUGCAGGAUGGAUAUAAAGUUAUAAAAUACGUUUUGGUUUUACAACAUCGUUCAUAUGUGAACUAUCACAAUUAAAGCACAAAGAUAUAACAACAUUACACUCCUAGGCCAUUCACAAAUGCUACAAAAGAGAAGAACGCCGCUUCAGCACUGAUCUGUAGGUCUGUAGCGCACGCGGGAGAGUGUCAACCCCUAAUUGACAUAAGGAAACAAAUCAUUGAAAAGUGUUCAGUGUACACCUGUUUGCAACAGAGGAAGCAUUUGGAAAGAGGAGAAGAGAGAAAGUGAGAAGGCACUCAACAGAUGUUGGAAAAUGCACUGGUAACAACUAAAAUAAAGAAGACCAAAAAUAUAAUUCAACAGAAGAUGAUGACUCUGGUGAAACAAGCCAUCAAAUAAUGGGGAGCAGUAAUCUAUUUUAUCUUUUAUUAACUAUUAUCUUUAUAGUUUAGAAUACAUAAUAGCUGCUAUUGUAUUUCAGGAACUAAGACCUGUGGGAGUGCUGGAGAAACCAAGUGUACCAUGUCCUCCGUCGUCUCAGCCAUGGAAGAGAUCUUCAGACAUGAAGAGAUCGAGGAGUUAAAUUAAAUCAAAGAGGAUUUACAAUGUUAGUGCCAAGUCAGUAUGAAAACAGAGAGAGAGCUGAGGGAGUGGAAAGGUAAUGAAAUCUAUAACCCCAAAUCAGAAAAAGUUGGGACAGUAUGGAAAACGCAAAUAAAAAAAGAAAGUAGUGAUUUCCAAAUUUACUUUGACUUGUAUAUCAUUGCAGACAAUAUGAACAAAAUAUUUCAUGUUUUGUUUGGUCAACUUCAUGUCAUUUGUAAAUAUACAUCCUUUCCUGUCAUUCAGACCUGCAACACAUUCCAAAAAAAGUUGACAUAAUUAAAUUGACAUAUACUUGCAAAGUUACUCAUUGUCAGUAUGUUGUAUGUUGUGGAUCCAUCAAAAUAAAGUGUUAGAAGAUAUUAAGCAGACAGUCUACUAAUACUCUAAUGACUGCUA
Onychostoma macrolepis is the source of this 1040-nucleotide long non-coding RNA. RefSeq lists it as uncharacterized. Lineage: Eukaryota; Metazoa; Chordata; Actinopteri; Cypriniformes; Cyprinidae. The transcript has 3 exons. The record is from RefSeq and is a predicted model, not a curated record.